Molecule: ribosomal RNA, 396 nt
Filed under: uncultured bacterium
Lineage: Bacteria
Description: partial 16S ribosomal RNA
Rfam family: Bacterial small subunit ribosomal RNA
Source: RNAcentral
AUACGUAGGUGACAAGCGUUAUCCGGAUUUACUGGGCGUAAAGGGCGUGUAGGCGGUCUUGCAAGUCAGAAGUGAAAUUCCUGAGCUCAACUCGGGCGCUGCUUCUGAAACUGCAGGACUUGAGUGCUGGAGGGGAUAGCGGAAUUCCUAGUGGAGCGGUAAAAUGCGCAGAUAUUAGGGAGAACACCGGUGGCGAAGGCGGCUAUCUGGACAGUAACUGACGCUGUGUAGCGAAAGCGUGGGGAGAAAGCAGGAUUAGAUACCCUGGUAGUCCACGCCGUAAACGAUGAAUGCUAGGUGUUGCGGGUAUCGACCCCUGCAGUGCCGGAGUAAACACAAUAAGCAUUCCGCCUGGGGAGUACGGCCGCAAGGUUGAAACUCAAAUGAAUUGACGUG